ACGGAAGGCAGCAGUGGGGAAUAUUGGACAAUGGGGGCAACCCUGAUCCAGCGACGCCGCGUGAGUGAAGAAGUAAUUCGUUAUGUAAAGCUCUAUCAGCAGGGACGAAAAUGACGGUACCUGUGAAGGAAGCUCCGGCUAACUACGUGCCAGCAGCCGCGGUAAUACGUAGGGAGCAAGCGUUAUCCGGAAUUACUGGGUGUAAAGGGAGUGUAGGCGGGACUGUAAGUCAGAUGUGAAAUAUGCCGGCUCAACUGGCAGACUGCAUUUGAAACUGCGGUUCUUGAGUGAAGUAGAGGUAAGCGGAAUUCCUAGUGUAGCGGUGAAAUGCGUAGAUAUUAGGAGGAACAUCAGUGGCGAAGGCGGCUUACUGGGCUUUAACUGACGCUGAGGCUCGAAAGCGUGGGGAGCAAACAGGAUUAGAUACCCUGGUA
RNAcentral lists this ribosomal RNA (434 nucleotides) under uncultured Ruminococcus sp. Its description in RNAcentral is "bacterial SSU rRNA". It matches the Rfam family "Bacterial small subunit ribosomal RNA", at positions 341 to 792 of the family's 1533-position model. Lineage: Bacteria; Bacillati; Bacillota; Clostridia; Eubacteriales; Oscillospiraceae. The record is from RNAcentral.